Molecule: long non-coding RNA, 469 nt
Organism: Eriocheir sinensis (Chinese mitten crab)
Lineage: Eukaryota; Metazoa; Arthropoda; Malacostraca; Decapoda; Varunidae
Exons: 3
Source: RefSeq, a predicted model, not a curated record
UUGAAAGGUGGUGGUGCGCCGUGCGACCGUCUGUUUGUAAAGAAAGACAUUGGUAUAUUCUUCUAGUCGCAGGAGUACAAGCGUCUGCGAGAGACUGAGGUAGCGGAGCGGGUCAAGCCUAAGAACAUCGUCUGCGUCACCAGGCAGUGGCAAUGAGGAAGAAGCGCCCGUGUGUGUCAAGAGCCUCCUCAUGCUGUUCGUGUGUGGCGCGUGUUGCUGACACAUACCGGUGUUUGCCCGUGCGAGUGAGGUACGUAUUGUGUGGAGCUUCCCCAUCCACCACGAGACUCUCUUCCUUCAACUGUGCGUGGUCCGUCAGGUGCCACAACCCUCCUGGAUGAAUGAUACCUGUGGAAGAGAAGGGAGGAUCAGCUCUACGAAUUGUCUAGCUUUUAUAUACACAUGUAACCAAAGUUUACUACCAUGUAUAUAUAUGUCUAAGGAACAAAUAAACUUCAGGGACACCCAA